Molecule: non-coding RNA, 162 nt
Organism: Triticum aestivum (bread wheat)
Lineage: Eukaryota; Viridiplantae; Streptophyta; Magnoliopsida; Poales; Poaceae
Source: Rfam
AGAAGGUGUUGUAUUUGGCAUUCAAGCAUUGGGUUUCCUUUUGGAUCUUGCUUGAUGAAAAGAGGAAAUUUCAUCGUGAUGGGGAUAGAUCAUUGCAAUUGUUGGUCUUCAACGAGGAAUGCCUAGUAAGCGCGAGUCAUCAGCUCGCGUUGACUACAUCCC